Oncorhynchus keta (chum salmon) is the source of this 248-nucleotide long non-coding RNA. RefSeq lists it as uncharacterized. The transcript has 5 exons. Lineage: Eukaryota; Metazoa; Chordata; Actinopteri; Salmoniformes; Salmonidae. The record is from RefSeq and is a predicted model, not a curated record.
AGAGGAGGUGUCCUCCCUCACUAGUCUCAGGCCAGUGGUGAAGAGGAGGUGUCCUCCCUCACUAGUCUCAGGCCAGUGGUGAAGAGGAGGCCAGUGGUGAAGAGGAGGUGUCCUCCCUCACUAGUCUCAGGCCAGUGGUGAAGAGGAGGUGUCCUCCCUCACUAGUCUCAGGCCAGUGGUGAAGAGGAGGCCAGUGGUGAAGAGGAGGUGUCCUCCCUCACUAGUCUCAGGCCAGUGGUGAAGAGGAG